RNAcentral lists this ribosomal RNA (447 nucleotides) under uncultured bacterium. Its description in RNAcentral is "bacterial SSU rRNA". It matches the Rfam family "Bacterial small subunit ribosomal RNA", at positions 30 to 478 of the family's 1533-position model. The record is from RNAcentral.
AGUGAACGCUGGCGGCAGGCCUAACACAUGCAAGUCGAGCGGCAGCGCGGGGGCAACCCUGGCGGCGAGCGGCGGACGGGUGAGGAAUGCAUCGGAAUCUACCUCGUUGUGGGGGAUAACCUCGGGAAACCGGGACUAAUACCGCAUACGACCUACGGGUGAAAGUGGGGGACCUUCGGGCCUCACGCGAUGAGAUGAGCCGAUGCCGGAUUAGCUAGUUGGCGGGGUAAAGGCCCACCAAGGCGACGAUCCGUAGCUGGUCUGAGAGGAUGAUCAGCCACACUGGAACUGAGACACGGUCCAGACUCCUACGGGAGGCAGCAGUGGGGAAUAUUGGACAAUGGGCGCAAGCCUGAUCCAGCCAUGCCGCGUGUGUGAAGAAGGCCUUCGGGUUGUAAAGCACUUUUGUUGGGGAAGAAACCGGUCGGAUUAAUACUUCGGCUGAAU